This 2970-nucleotide ribosomal RNA is filed under the name Bothriogaster signata. RNAcentral describes it as "partial 28S ribosomal RNA". It matches the Rfam family "Eukaryotic large subunit ribosomal RNA", at positions 44 to 1897 of the family's 3401-position model. The record is from RNAcentral. Lineage: Eukaryota; Metazoa; Arthropoda; Chilopoda; Geophilomorpha; Himantariidae.
UAGUAAGCGGAGGAAAAGAAACUAACAAGGAUUCCCUUAGUAACUGCGAGUGAAAAGGGAAAAGCCCAGCACCGAAGCCCCUGCUUUAUAAAAAACGGAGCAGCGGGCAAUGUGGUGUAAGGGAGCGGUUUUCUUCCAUCUGGUUGCGGGAGCCUAAGUCCCCCUGACUGGGGCCAUCGCCCAUGGCGGGUGCAAGGCCCUUUUGUGCUCACCGUUUAAAACCUUUUGGUGGUCGGCCGUCUCUCAGGAGUCGGGUUGCUUGAAAGUGCAGCCCUAAGUGGGUGGUAAACUCCAUCUAAGGCUAAAUACAACCACGAGACCGAUAGCAAACAAGUACCGUGAGGGAAAGUUGAAAUAGAACUUUGGAGAGAGAGUUCAAGAGUACGUGAAACCGUUCAGAGGCAAACAGGUGGGACCUCGAAGGUCGAAACGGGGGAUUCAACCCGUCGCCAAUAAAGAACACGGACCAUUACUUUAAAAAAAACCCUCAAUGCGAGUAUAACGCUGGGCGCACCACGUACAACUCGUGAAAAAAAAACCACAUGGCCGUGUCUCUUGUCGUGCAACUACGGUUUACAUAUACGCAUGUAUGAGCUCGGACUAAUUUUUCCCAGUCCCCUGGGAAGGUUGCCGAGCAAACGGAUCGAAGGCUGGGUGUUGGAUUGCAACUUGUUGUUUUCCAUGCUUUAGCCAAGACCGGGCCGUAGAAAAAUCAAAAAAAGCCACAUUGCGAAGGUUUUACAAGGGUCCUUCGUAACUGUGAGUCCUUUUACUCUUGCUACGGCUGGUGGCGGGCGCACUUCCCCCUUAGUAGGACGCUGCGACCGGUUGGGAAAAAAUAAACACAAGGCAGCUAUGCGACGAGGCAUUAAACGAGGAAAGGUAUCCGUUGCCGGUCGGUCCAGACUCUAGCCUUCGGGCUGGUUUCUUUUUAAGUGGCUCCGGUCGGAAUUAUAGUCCUUGCCUUGGCCGAGCGCUCUGCCUCCCAACCGAACCAUAAAAUCUCAAGACCGAUGAUGCGUUGCUCGCGAUACAAUUCGCUCGCCAUCGUCUGGGAUAGCUGGGUUACAAAUUGCCGGCUGACGCCACAAAACUUGGGCGGCUGUUCGACGUUGUGCCUGCUAAACAUUCCCGUUGACGUAAUCUGGCGUAAUGGGCAAAAAACACGCUCGAGGUCGGCAGCGAGUAGGUCGGUAACCCACCUGACCCGUCUUGAAACACGGACCAAGGAGUCUAACAUGUACGCGAGUCGUAGGGUACUGCAAAACCCGAAGGCGAAAUGAAAGUGAAGGCCGGUACUCAUUUUUCGUACCCGUGCAAACGAGUCGAAAUUGGGGAAAGCUGUGGCGAGAUCCUUAAAAGGUUAGGUUUUCUUUACACCUUGUUCACAAAGGGAACAACUCCAAAGCGCUGCCCGUACACUCGGGUGGAGUAUGUCAACCCUGCUGUCGGUGACGAGGAAUCAUGUAAGAAAUCUUUCCUAUCCUCGAGUAUCGAUGAAAAGAACUCGGGGGGGCGCAUCGCCGGCCCGUCUAAAUCCGAUUUUUUCUUGCUUUUUUCGAUCACAACGUUUGUGGGGGUGUAAAAACCAACUCAACGUACAUUUCGUUAAUCGCUCGAUUAAAUAUAUUACCGGAUAGGGCGGAGCAGGAGCGUACACGUUGGGACCCGAAAGAUGGUGAACUAUGCUUGGGCAGGACGAAGCCAGAGGAAACUCUGGUGGAGGUCCGUAGCGAUUCUGACGUGCAAAUCGAUCGUCAGACCUGAGUAUAGGGGCGAAAGACUAAUCGAACCAUCUAGUAGCUGGUUCCCUCCGAAGUUUCCCUCAGGAUAGCUGGCGCUCAUACUGAUAAACACAGUCUCAUGCGGUAAAGCGAAUGAUUAGAGGCCUUGGGGUCGAAACGACCUCAACCUAUUCUCAAACUUUCAAUGCGUAAGACAUCCGGCUUUGCCUAAACGAAGCCCGGAAGUUUGGAUGCGAGUGCCCAGUGGGCCACUUUUGGUAAGCAGAACUGGCGCUGUGGGAUGAACCAAACGCCGGGUUAAGGCGCCCAAUGCAAUAAGACGCUCAUCAGACCCCAUGAAAGGUGUUGGUGCUAUGACAGCANNNNNNNNNNNNNNNNNNNNNNNNNNNNNNNNNNNNNNNNNNNNNNNNNNNNNNNUUCCAUGUGAACAGCAGUUGAACAUGGGUCAGUCGGCCCUAAGGAAUAGGGGAAACCCGUUCUGAAUAUUACCGGGGAAAAACAAACAAAAACUGACCAAACCAAAAAACACCCCGCGUAAUAUGACCGAAAGGGAAUCAGGUUAAUAUUCCUGAACCCAGAUGCAGAGACACGCCAACGUCCCACCGUCUCGUAAAAAGUAACAAAAAAGGCACAUACAAGAUAUUUCCCAUAAAAUGUGUAGUGCUAUACUUUAUGUGUGCGUACAAAAAAAAGUACGGGAAAAAUAUAUAACCAAUGUUUUGCGUUGUUGUUGCUGUUGUUGUUGUUGUGGUAGGCACUAGGUGAACGACAGACCAACCUUCCUUCGGGAAGAGGUUCUGGCUUAGUAAUCGUGCACACACACACGCACACACACGCACUCAUGGUUUAUACCGUACAAAAUAAGUGACCACACGCGUAUUCAUUUGCACGGGAAUAUUGGAAAGUGUUGUUAAAAAGCGUGGACGGUUUAAAUGGUGACGGAAUCUUUGGCAUUAUAAGCGGUAACGCGAACGAGCUCGGAGACGUCGGCGGAAGCCUCGGGAAGAGUUUUCUUUUCUUUGUAAAGGACGGACUCCCUGGAAUCGGCUUGCCCGGAGAUAGGGAUGUUGUUCCUGUAAAGCACCGCGGCUCUUGCGGUGUCCGAAGCGUUUCUGACCGGCCCUUGAAAAUCCGAGUGAGUUUAAAACAUAAAUGAUUUCUGCACUGGACCGUACCCAUAUCCGCAGCAGGUCUCCAAGGUGAACAGCCUCUAGUCGAUAGAACA